RNAcentral lists this ribosomal RNA (406 nucleotides) under uncultured bacterium. RNAcentral describes it as "partial 16S ribosomal RNA". It matches the Rfam family "Bacterial small subunit ribosomal RNA", at positions 30 to 526 of the family's 1533-position model. The record is from RNAcentral.
AUUGAACGCUGGCGGCAGGCCUAACACAUGCAAGUCGAGCGCGCGGCGGACGGGUGAGUAAUGUAUGAGACUCUGCCAGAGAGAGGGAGAUAACUACUGGAAACGGUGGAUAAUACCGCAUUCUCUCGUAUGAACCCAUAUGGGAUUAGCUAGUAGGUGGGGUAAAGGCUCACCUAGGCGACGAUCUCUAGCUGGUCUGAGAGGAUGACCAGCCACACUGGGACUGAGACACGGCCCAGACUCCUACGGGAGGCAGCAGUGGGGAAUAUUGCGCAAUGGGGGCAACCCUGACGCAGCCAUGCCGCGUGAAUGAAGAAGGCCUUCGGGUUGUAAAGUUCUUUCGGUAGCGAGGCGUUAACUACAGAAGAAGCACCGGCUAACUCCGUGCCAGCAGCCGCGGUAAUAC